AGAUAAUAUAAUCAUAAUAAAAUAAAUACUAACAGAUAAGAGAAAAAAGAAUUAAUAAAUAAAAGAAUAAUAAUAGUAAUUGAGAAAUUAUUGAAUUUCUCCAAUAAUUCUCUACAAAAUUCAAAAUUCCGAAAUAAGAAUUAAAUAUUAAAUAAAUCAAUAAAUCAAUAAAUUAUCGGGUGUUUAUACUAUGCAAUAGGUAAGAUGUCUUUAAGGACUUAACCCCACUUAGUGUAAAUAGUUUUCAUUAGAAGGAAUCGGAGUGAAUUAGAUCUUGAACUAUGUUCCUUUGGCUAUAAUUUCAACUACCACGCAUACAGUACAGAAUUUUCCGUCGCGGGUCUGUGCGUUAAUGACCAUGCACAGUACCUUGAUUUUUUAUAAGAAUUUUUAUGGAUAGCCAAUAUCACAUAGCCGCAGUUACAUACGGAUACUCUUAUAUAGGUGGUUUCCUCCAUGGAUGUGUGUAGAGUCACAUCUCACGAAAAUUACCGUCUUGGAUUCCAUUAAGGGCCCGUUUGGUUCGAGUUAUGUAAUAUUACAAAGUAUCUCGACAUAUCCAGGUAUCUUGGAUUUCGGCGUGAGAUUACUACUGAUGCUGCAUUAGCGUGUUUGGUUUAAUGCAGUAAUGUAAUACUAGAUUACACUGUUUAUAGCAUUAAUACGUUUGGUUCAGUUUAUAAAAUUUAAUAAUCCUGACAUAAAAGUAUAGUUUUUUUCAAAAUUGCCCUUGUUGUGGUCAUUUGAAUAUUAUUUUUUGCGAAAAUGAUGAAUGGAGGGAAGGAGAUCGUGAUGAUUACCUGGGAGGACGACGCAAUAGAAGAUGACAGGUGUUCGUGCGAGAGAGAGAAAGAGAGAGAGAGAGAGAGAGCAAGAGAAAGCGACGUGCGAAAGAGAAGGGGAAGGCGAGAGAGAUGAAAAUAAUGCUGUUAAUUAGAUUUGGGGUUUUUUGGAGGGUAAAAUUGUCAUUUUACAUAAUAUGUAGUAUUAACGGGUUUCAGUAAUGCAAGAUACACGACCCCCCUCCCGUUAAUAUUUUCGAUGUAAUCCUGCUCGAUUUGUAAUGCUACAUUAACGACUAGAUUACAUAGUGGAUUAACCAAACACAGUUAUCCUGGCAGGAUUGCCUGUAAUCCUGCCAGGAUAACUCGAACCAAACGCACCCUAUAUAAGAGCUAUCAGCUCAACCUCAGCCACUACACAGAGUACUACUCACCAUAGGAAUAGGAUUGGAGCUAAAACUCCUCUAUAUAGACUGUAGAAGUGCUAUUUGGUCAACUUAACAGCUUGUUUUUACCACAUUGAACCUUUUUCAAGGGAUCUUCUAUCACAAAGGUUGAAUUCUCACUGGGCAAAAUCCCAUCCCCCUUGAUGACUCUUAAACCUUAGUCCUAUUCAGCCCUUUUGUCAAAUAAUCUGUAAAAUUCUGUUCAAAUUUGAUAAAACUCAAAUAAGUAAUAUAAUAAAAAUAACUAUCUAAUAAAUUUAUGUCUCAAAAUAAUUUACUUGCCAAUCUUAGAAUUUACCAAAUUCGUUUCCAAGAUGAACACUAGGAUAAAAAAAAAACGCGGGAGCAAUUAUAAUUUUAAAAUUUAUUAAUUAAACUAAUAAAAGAGAGCCUCCCCCACAAGUUCUGAGGUACACCAAACUUUAACAAUCAAAAC
This 1664-nucleotide long non-coding RNA is filed under the name Ananas comosus (pineapple). RNAcentral describes it as "long non-coding RNA (ACOM_LNC037103)". The record is from RNAcentral. Lineage: Eukaryota; Viridiplantae; Streptophyta; Magnoliopsida; Poales; Bromeliaceae.